Long non-coding RNA from Sarcophilus harrisii (Tasmanian devil), 1506 nucleotides. RefSeq lists it as uncharacterized. The transcript is spliced from 5 exons. The record is from RefSeq and is a predicted model, not a curated record. Lineage: Eukaryota; Metazoa; Chordata; Mammalia; Dasyuromorphia; Dasyuridae.
GAAAGGGGAGCAUAGUAGGGAAGGAGAGGAGGGAAAUAUACUUUGGGGGGGAAAGAACUGCCAAAAAUAUUUCUAAUGUUUGUUGUAUUUCCUCUUUGUGUUAAUUUAAUUAUUUCUUACUGAUUCAAUGAAGUGGCUCAUUUAGGUUUCUAUUAGCAAAGUGGUUACUUUGCUAAUUAUAAGAUUAUAAAUUUAGAGAUGGACAUCAGAGGUUGCUUGAUACAUCUUUCUCAACUUAUGGAUAAGAAAACUUGAGAUCCAGAGCUCAAGCUCACACAGGUCCAGCAUCCUGAUGAUAACAUUCUACAAAGCUUCAGAAACAACAAUUUAAAAUAUCCAUGGGGUCCCAUUCCUUCUGUGGAGUGAUUCCAGAUAUCUUCUGAAAUACGCUAUAAGAAAUUAUUCAAUCUGGCUUUCAUCCAUACUGUUCCAAUGGCUUCCUGCCACUCAGAACCAAAGUUUGAGAGGGUGCUCAAGGACAAGAAUUGUUUCUAAGAGAUAACCAUGAGACAUUUUCAUCUGUGUUAAGAACCUGUGGAAAAAUCUUGCAUCAAGGAGGAUGGGCAGUCAUCAUCAAUUCCCAGAAUCAGUCACUGCAUUGAUCAGAGUUCAACUUACUUAUUGUAUUUUCACAUCAUAAAUUACAAAGAUAAUUUGAAGACAUUCUUAACCUCUUGAAUAGUCAGUUUCAGCUCUGUACAGAAGAUGAAAAUGAGGGAAGUUAAUAGAAGAUAGCUAUAAAAGUGAAGGAUGUUCCUGAAAGAAGAGUAUCAGAAGCUCUAAAGUUUAUCGUGAAAUUAGCAAGGAAAGCUAAGACAACUAAUCAAGUUUUCCCCCUUUUAGGGAAAAGAUGUUGCUCAUAGUAGGAAUAUGACUGCUCCUUUGGAUGGAAGGAAGGAAACACAUUUUGAUUUUCUCUGAUAAAGGGAAUAAUCUUGGAAUGGAGAGAACAAAAGAAAAAUGACCAUUAAUCAAAUUAUGUAGGCAAUUGGUAAGGGAGUAACUAUAGCUGCUCUUGAUGAAUUCAAGUUACCAAGCCCAUAUAAACUGAUGGAACUAAAAAAUCACUGUCAGUGAUAUUUGUAAGUGUGAAGAAUUGCAGAAGUGCUGCUAGACUGAAGAACAACAAAUGAGUUGCAUUUUAAAUAAUAGAAUAGAGUCUUCAAACUAUAAUAACAGAGUUUGACUUUGAUUGAUGGAAAAAAUUUAAAAGAAUUAUUAAAAGGAGAUAAGUGAACACCUGAUAAUAAGAAGAAAAGAAGCAAUCACAAAGAGGCAGAAAGUUUUCAAGAAAUAGGUAUUGCCAAGAAAAUGUACCUUCACCAAUGAGGACUUGAGUGUGGAAUACUGAGGUACUGCCUAAAUAAGUUUAUGUUUUGGUUAGUUUUGCUGCUUCUCUUUGUGAGUGUGUGUGUUUGUGAUAUAAGGGAUGGUUAAUUGAGGAGGAAUAAAUUUGGGAAUAUAGGUGAUAGGAAACAAAAAAAUAAUUAAUAAAAAUAAAGUUCC